RNAcentral lists this ribosomal RNA (433 nucleotides) under uncultured bacterium. RNAcentral describes it as "partial 16S ribosomal RNA". It matches the Rfam family "Bacterial small subunit ribosomal RNA", at positions 29 to 507 of the family's 1533-position model. The record is from RNAcentral.
AACGAACGCUGGCGGCAUGCCUAACACAUGCAAGUCGAACGAGACCUUCGGGUCUAGUGGCGCACGGGUGCGUAACGCGUGGGAACUUGCCCUUAGGCUCGGAAUAACUCCCCGAAAGGGGUGCUAAUACCGGAUCAUGUCUUCGGACCAAAGAUUUAUCGCCUUUGGAUGGGCCCGCGUUGGGUUAGCUAGUUGGUAGGGUAAAAGCCUACCAAGGCGACGAUCCAUAGCUGGUCUGAGAGGAUGAUCAGCCACACUGGGACUGAGACACGGCCCAGACUCCUACGGGAGGCAGCAGUGGGGAAUAUUGGACAAUGGGCGAAAGCCUGAUCCAGCAAUGCCGCGUGAGUGAUGAAGGCCUUAGGGUUGUAAAGCUCUUUUACCCGGGAUGAUAAUGACAGUACCGGGAGAAUAAGCUCCGGCUAACUCCGUG